RNAcentral lists this ribosomal RNA (572 nucleotides) under uncultured low G+C Gram-positive bacterium. RNAcentral's name for it is "bacterial SSU rRNA". It matches the Rfam family "Bacterial small subunit ribosomal RNA", at positions 8 to 564 of the family's 1533-position model. Lineage: Bacteria; Bacillati; Bacillota. The record is from RNAcentral.
AGACUUUGAUCCUGGCUCAGGACGAACGCUGGCGGCGUGCCUAAUACAUGCAAGUCGAGCGAAUCGAUGGGAGCUUGCUCCCUGAGAUUAGCGGCGGACGGGUGAGUAACACGUGGGCAACCUGCCUAUAAGACUGGGAUAACUUCGGGAAACCGGAGCUAAUACCGGAUACGUUCUUUUCUCGCAUGAGAGAAGAUGGAAAGACGGUUUUGCUGUCACUUAUAGAUGGGCCCGCGGCGCAUUAGCUAGUUGGUGAGGUAAUGGCUCACCAAGGCGACGAUGCGUAGCCGACCUGAGAGGGUGAUCGGCCACACUGGGACUGAGACACGGCCCAGACUCCUACGGGAGGCAGCAGUAGGGAAUCUUCCGCAAUGGACGAAAGUCUGACGGAGCAACGCCGCGUGAACGAAGAAGGCCUUCGGGUCGUAAAGUUCUGUUGUUAGGGAAGAACAAGUACCAGAGUAACUGCUGGUACCUUGACGGUACCUAACCAGAAAGCCACGGCUAACUACGUGCCAGCAGCCGCGGUAAUACGUAUGUGGCAAGCGUUGUCCGGAAUUAUUGGGCGUAAA